UUAUUUGGCCAAACGUCCUUGUCAAUGCCUGAUCUUAUCAGAUCUCAGAAGCUAAGCAGGGCUGGACCUGGUUAGCACUUGGAUGGGGGACCACUGAGGACUGGAGCAAAAAAUA
Molecule: ribosomal RNA, 115 nt
Filed under: Periophthalmus magnuspinnatus
Lineage: Eukaryota; Metazoa; Chordata; Actinopteri; Gobiiformes; Gobiidae
Source: RNAcentral